RNAcentral lists this ribosomal RNA (110 nucleotides) under Oncorhynchus kisutch (coho salmon). The record is from RNAcentral. Lineage: Eukaryota; Metazoa; Chordata; Actinopteri; Salmoniformes; Salmonidae.
GCUUACAGGCCUGAGUACGCCUGAUCUCGUCUGAUCUCGGAAGCUAAGCAGGGUCGGCCUGGUUAGUACUUGGAUGGGAGACCGCCUGGGAAUACCAGGUGCUGUAAGCU